UGGGGAAUAUUGGACAAUGGGGGCAACCCUGAUCCAGCAAUGCCGCGUGUGUGAAGAAGGCCUGCGGGUUGUAAAGCACUUUCAGUGGGGAGGAAUGUGUAAUUUGUUAAUAGUAGAUUAUAUUGACGUUACCCAAAGAAGAAGCACCGGCUAACUCUGUGCCAGCAGCCGCGGUAAUACAGAGGGUGCGAGCGUUAAUCGGAAUUACUGGGCGUAAAGGGUGCGUAGGUGGCGACAUAAGUCAGGUGUGAAAUCCCCGAGCUUAACUUGGGAAUUGCGCUUGAGACUGUAUUGCUAGAGUGUUGUAGAGGAAAGUGGAAUUUCCGGUGUAGCGGUGAAAUGCGUAGAUAUCGGAAGGAACACCAGUGGCGAAGGCGGCUUUCUGGACAGACACUGACACUGAGGCACGAAAGCGUGGGUAGCAAACAGG
Molecule: ribosomal RNA, 430 nt
Filed under: uncultured bacterium
Lineage: Bacteria
Description: bacterial SSU rRNA
Rfam family: Bacterial small subunit ribosomal RNA
Source: RNAcentral